UACGUAGGGGGCAAGCGUUAUCCGGAUUUACUGGGUGUGAAGGGAGCGUAGACGGCGGUGCAAGCCAGAUGUGAAAGCCCGGGGCUCAACCCCGGGACUGCAUUUGGAACUGUGCCGCUAGAGUGUCGGAGAGGCAGGCGGAAUUCCUAGUGUAGCGGUGAAAUGCGUAGAUAUUAGGAGGAACACCAGUGGCGAAGGCGGCCUGCUGGACGAUGACUGACGUUGAGGCUCGAAAGCGUGGGGAGCAAACAGG
Molecule: ribosomal RNA, 253 nt
Filed under: uncultured bacterium
Lineage: Bacteria
Description: partial 16S ribosomal RNA
Rfam family: Bacterial small subunit ribosomal RNA
Source: RNAcentral